This 839-nucleotide ribosomal RNA is filed under the name uncultured archaeon. RNAcentral's name for it is "bacterial SSU rRNA". It matches the Rfam family "Archaeal small subunit ribosomal RNA", at positions 21 to 859 of the family's 1478-position model. The record is from RNAcentral.
AGGUUACUGCUAUCGGUGUUCGCCUAAGCCAUGCGAGUCAUAUGUUCUUCGUGAACAUGGCGUACUGCUCAGUAACACGUGGAUAACCUGCCCUUGGGUCCGGCAUAACCCCGGGAAACUGGGAAUAAUUCCGGAUAACGCACAUAUGCUGGAAUGCUUUAUGCGUCAAAUGGAUUCGUCCGCCCAAGGAUGGGUCUGCGGCCUAUCAGGUAGUAGUGGGUGUAAUGUACCUACUAGCCUACGACGGGUACGGGUUGUGAGAGCAAGAGCCCGGAGAUGGAUUCUGAGACAUGAAUCCAGGCCCUACGGGGCGCAGCAGGCGCGAAAACUUUACAAUGCGGGAAACCGUGAUAAGGGGACACCGAGUGCCAGCAUCAUAUGCUGGCUGUCCGGGUGUGUAAAAUACACCUGUUAGCAAGGGCCGGGCAAGACCGGUGCCAGCCGCCGCGGUAAUACCGGCGGCCCGAGUGGUGAUCGUGAUUAUUGGGUCUAAAGGGUCCGUAGCCGGUUUGGUCAGUCCUCCGGGAAAUCUGACGGCUUAACCGUUAGGCUUUCGGGGGAUACUGCCAGACUUGGAACCGGGAGAGGUAAGAGGUACUACAGGGGUAGGAGUGAAAUCUUGUAAUCCCUGUGGGACCACCUGUGGCGAAGGCGUCUUACCAGAACGGGUUCGACGGUGAGGGACGAAAGCUGGGGGCACGAACCGGAUUAGAUACCCGGGUAGUCCCAGCCGUAAACGAUGCUCGCUAGGUGUCAGGCAUGGCGCGACCGUGUCUGGUGCCGCAGGGAAGCCGUGAAGCGAGCCACCUGGGAAGUACGGCCGCAAGGCUGAAACUUAA